This 204-nucleotide long non-coding RNA is filed under the name Capsicum annuum. RNAcentral describes it as "long non-coding RNA (CANN_LNC015122)". The record is from RNAcentral. Lineage: Eukaryota; Viridiplantae; Streptophyta; Magnoliopsida; Solanales; Solanaceae.
UUCUCAGAGAGGUGCAUAUUCUUAUAUGAUCCAUAUGAAUCAUCUGGUCAUUAUCUGUUUGUUCUUGCUCAGAUCAAGAAAUUAGUUGAGAUUAUCCCUUUGUGUCUCCAAGCUUAUGAUUUCUACAAUAAGAAAGGAAUUGAUCUUCAAAAUCAUUCAAUAUACAAAGACAAAGAUUACUCAGAUCUGUUUGAUGUGAUAUUU